This 475-nucleotide ribosomal RNA is filed under the name uncultured organism. Its description in RNAcentral is "partial 16S ribosomal RNA". It matches the Rfam family "Bacterial small subunit ribosomal RNA", at positions 330 to 797 of the family's 1533-position model. The record is from RNAcentral.
CGUACACUCCUACGGGAGGCAGCAGUGGGGAAUUUUGGACAAUGGGCGAAAGCCUGAUCCAGCCAUGCCGCGUGCAGGAUGAAGGCCUUCGGGUUGUAAACUGCUUUUGUACGGAACGAAACGGCCUUUUCUAAUAAAGAGGGCUAAUGACGGUACCGUAAGAAUAAGCACCGGCUAACUACGUGCCAGCAGCCGCGGUAAUACGUAGGGUGCAAGCGUUAAUCGGAAUUACUGGGCGUAAAGCGUGCGCAGGCGGUUAUGUAAGACAGUUGUGAAAUCCCCGGGCUCAACCUGGGAACUGCAUCUGUGACUGCAUAGCUAGAGUACGGUAGAGGGGGAUGGAAUUCCGCGUGUAGCAGUGAAAUGCGUAGAUAUGCGGAGGAACACCGAUGGCGAAGGCAAUCCCCUGGACCUGUACUGACGCUCAUGCACGAAAGCGUGGGGAGCAAACAGGAUUAGAAACCCCUGUAGUCCC